Molecule: ribosomal RNA, 497 nt
Filed under: uncultured bacterium
Lineage: Bacteria
Description: partial 16S ribosomal RNA
Rfam family: Bacterial small subunit ribosomal RNA
Source: RNAcentral
GAUGAACGCUGGCGGCGUGCCUAAUACAUGCAAGUUGAGCGUACAGAUGAGGAGCUUGCUCCUCUGACGUUAGCGGCGGACGGGUGAGUAACACGUGGAUAACCUACCUAUAAGACUGGGAUAACUUCGGGAAACCGGAGCUAAUACCGGAUAAUAUAUUGAACCGCAUGGUUCAAUAGUGAAAGACGGUUUUGCUGUCACUUAUAGAUGGAUCCGCGCCGCAUUAGCUAGUUGGUAAGGUAACGGCUUACCAAGGCAACGAUGCGUAGCCGACCUGAGAGGGUGAUCGGCCACACUGGAACUGAGACACGGUCCAGACUCCUACGGGAGGCAGCAGUAGGGAAUCUUCCGCAAUGGGCGAAAGCCUGACGGAGCAACGCCGCGUGAGUGAUGAAGGUCUUCGGAUCGUAAAACUCUGUUAUUAGGGAAGAACAAAUGUGUAAGUAACUAUGCACGUCUUGACGGUACCCAAUCAGAAAGCCACGGCUAACUACGUG